AAUAGAUACCCUGGUAGUCCACGCCGUAAACGUUGGGCGCUAGAUGUGGGGACCUUUCCACGGUUUCCGUGUCGUAGCUAACGCAUUAAGCGCCCCGCCUGGGGAGUACGGCCGCAAGGCUAAAACUCAAAGGAAUUGACGGGGGCCCGCACAAGCGGCGGAGCAUGCGGAUUAAUUCGAUGCAACGCGAAGAACCUUACCAAGGCUUGACAUAACCGAGAACACCGUAGAAAUACGGGACUCUUUGGACACUCGGUUACAGGUGGUGCAUGGUUGUCGUCAGCUCGUGUCGUGAGAUGUUGGGUUAAGUCCCGCAACGAGCGCAACCCUCGUCGCAUGUUGCCAGCACGUCAUGGUGGGAACUCAUGUGAGACUGCCGGGGUCAACUCGGAGGAAGGUGGGGAUGACGUCAAAUCAUCAUGCCCCUUAUGUCUUGGGCUUCACGCAUGCUACAAUGGCCGGUACAAAGGGCUGCGAUGUCGUAAGGCGGAGCGAAUCCCAAAAAGCCGGUCUCAGUUCGGGUUGAGGUCUGCAACUCGACCU
This 543-nucleotide ribosomal RNA is filed under the name uncultured bacterium. RNAcentral describes it as "bacterial SSU rRNA". It matches the Rfam family "Bacterial small subunit ribosomal RNA", at positions 777 to 1318 of the family's 1533-position model. The record is from RNAcentral.